Molecule: unclassified non-coding RNA, 329 nt
Filed under: soil metagenome
Description: partial contains 5.8S ribosomal RNA, internal transcribed spacer 2, and large subunit ribosomal RNA
Rfam family: 5.8S ribosomal RNA (bases 1-120)
Source: RNAcentral
GAUGAAGAUCGUAGCGAAAUGCGAUAAGUAAUGUGAAUUGCAGAAUUCAGUGAAUCAUCGAAUCUUUGAACGCACAUUGCGCCCCCUGGUAUUCCGGGGGGCAUGCCUGUCCGAGCGUCAUUACAACCCUCAAGCUCAGCUUGGUGUUGGGCCCCGCCGCCCCGGCGGGCCCUAAAGUCAGUGGCGGUGCCGUCCGGCUCCGAGCGUAGUAAUUCUUCUCGCUCUGGAGGUCCGGUCGUGUGCUCGCCAGCAACCCCCAAUUUUUUUCAGGUUGACCUCGGAUCAGGUAGGGAUACCCGCUGAACUUAAGCAUAUCAAUAAGCGGAGGA